RNAcentral lists this ribosomal RNA (524 nucleotides) under uncultured bacterium. Its description in RNAcentral is "bacterial SSU rRNA". It matches the Rfam family "Bacterial small subunit ribosomal RNA", at positions 550 to 1073 of the family's 1533-position model. The record is from RNAcentral.
AUUACUGGGCGUAAAGCGUUCGUAGGCGGUUAUUUAAGCAAGAUGUGAAAGCCCAGGGCUCAACCUUGGAACUGCAUUUUGAACUGGGUAACUAGAGUACUGUAGAGGGUGGUGGAAUUUCCAGUGUAGCGGUGAAAUGCGUAGAGAUUGGAAGGAACAUCAGUGGCGAAGGCGGCCACCUGGACAGAUACUGACGCUGAGGAACGAAAGCGUGGGGAGCGAACAGGAUUAGAUACCCUGGUAGUCCACGCCGUAAACGAUGUCAACUAGCCGUUUGUGUCCUAGAGCCGUGAGUGGCGCAGCUAACGCACUAAGUUGACCGCCUGGGGAGUACGGCCGCAAGGUUAAAACUCAAAUGAAUUGACGGGGGCCCGCACAAGCGGUGGAGCAUGUGGUUUAAUUCGAUGCAACGCGAAGAACCUUACCAUCCCUUGACAUCCAGAGAAGAGACUAGAGAUAGUUUAGUGCCUUCGGGAACUGUGUGACAGGUGCUGCAUGGCUGUCGUCAGCUCGUGUUGUGAAAU